Molecule: non-coding RNA, 167 nt
Filed under: Pseudobdellovibrionaceae bacterium
Lineage: Bacteria; Pseudomonadati; Bdellovibrionota; Bdellovibrionia; Bdellovibrionales; Pseudobdellovibrionaceae
Also listed under: 1 other name
Description: Bdellovibrionaceae bacterium 6S RNA
Rfam family: 6S / SsrS RNA
About the family: E. coli 6S RNA was the first non coding RNA to be sequenced, but its function was unknown until recently. It consists of 184 nucleotides that fold into an extended hairpin structure with a large single-stranded internal bulge.
Source: RNAcentral
UUAGUUCUGUGGGCUCAUGACAAAGUAAACCCUACAAGGACAUUUUGGGGGCUGUCCCUGACAAUGGUGAGCAUGCUCAUUGCGGAAUGAGAAGCCUAAAGUUGUUACCAUGGCCACCCACCUUAGCGAACCCGGGUUUACGGAUCAUCGAGCACCACAGAAUUUUU